Non-coding RNA from Drosophila melanogaster (fruit fly), 801 nucleotides. The record is from Ensembl. Lineage: Eukaryota; Metazoa; Arthropoda; Insecta; Diptera; Drosophilidae.
UAUCACAAGACUGUUAAGAGGAAAGGAAGCGGAAUGCGAAACGAAGGAUGUCGGUUUGGUCGCAACGAUCUUCGAACCGGAGGCCGGCUACAUCGCAAUUUUCAAUGGAGGAAAUGUCAAGCUACAGACGGAUUGUGGAGUCCAAAACAAGGCAAUGGUAAACAACGUACAGUACGAAGCGGUAGAGAUGCUUGGCAGAGCAGAGUUGAAGUUGAACAUUCCUCGGAUAGAGACGAUUAAGAGAAACAGGACAACCCAGGAGCUGUGAAUACACGAGCUGAGGAUGGAGGAUCUGGAAACGAAAAUACAGAUCAGCAGGAUACAGUGAGAAACUACGAUCCAUACAACAACAACUUACUCGAUGCUCGGUAUACUACUGAUAGUAGUAUUCGUCGUGGCCUGGUUCCCAAAGAAUACAAAAAUUUUCACACCAGAGACUAAACCACUGGCCACCUUCACACCCACCAUCGCUUCACCUGCUACGGUUGUAGCAACUAUGUCCCCGCUAUGGUCGGAGGAGGGAACCCUCGGCGGUCCCCCACCAAAGCCACUUCGACAACCAGAGGUCUAAGCGGGCACCAAGAUAUACUUUGUUGUGCUCUGUUGCGGUUCACUUAAAACGCUGAGACAUAGUAUCAAUUAAACAUCCGAAAUGCUGCAUCGGCGACCACUUGAAAUGUUGGGUCUUGGAUCGAUUACCAUUGAAAAUGCUGAAUCGAACCAAACAAGGGGGCAACUUGACAACACUGAACUUCAUCCGCUCCUUUUCUACUUUUCGGUCAAUCAGCAUAUUAGAAUAAG